This 25-nucleotide non-coding RNA is filed under the name Drosophila melanogaster (fruit fly). The record is from RNAcentral. Lineage: Eukaryota; Metazoa; Arthropoda; Insecta; Diptera; Drosophilidae.
CAAACCGAUAUGCUAUCUUGGCUGA